Molecule: non-coding RNA, 451 nt
Organism: Cinara cedri
Lineage: Eukaryota; Metazoa; Arthropoda; Insecta; Hemiptera; Aphididae
Source: the annotation of a GenBank genome assembly
UUGUUACUUACGUUAGAUUAUUGUAUACAUAUAUUCUUACAAUAUAUAAUGUGCUGGGUUCCUGGAAUAAUCGUUUUCCAGUAAACAUCACAUGUGAACAAAUUAACACACAAAUAAAAAUAAUAAUUUAGCGAGAGUACAUUUAAUAGUACAUUUAAUGAGUUGUCGCUUAUCCAAACGUUUCGGGAAAAAAACAGAAAUUACACAUACAUUUAUAUAGAGUGAAACACGAAGAUCUGUCAACUGAAAUAACUUUUUACCGAUAUAGCUUGUUAUAAACAUUUACCUUUGUAAAACUUGAACAUUUCUCAAAUCCAGACAAUUUGUAACCUUACAGCUUCAGUCCAUGCAUACUGCAUAGACAUUGUGACACUGAAAUAUUCACUACAUUUAAAAGUGGCCCUAUGAUAUAACUACUAAACAAUAGUAUGUCACUGAGAUUAAACCCUGU